This 253-nucleotide unclassified non-coding RNA is filed under the name uncultured Gammaproteobacteria bacterium. RNAcentral's name for it is "contains 16S-23S intergenic spacer region". It matches the Rfam family "Bacterial small subunit ribosomal RNA", at positions 524 to 776 of the family's 1533-position model. The record is from RNAcentral. Lineage: Bacteria; Pseudomonadati; Pseudomonadota; Gammaproteobacteria.
UACAGAGAGUGCAAGCGUUAAUCGGAAUUACUGGGCGUAAAGCGCACGUAGGUGGAUUCUUAAGUCGGAUGUGAAAGCCCUGGGCUUAACCUAGGAAUUGCAUCCGAUACUGGGUAUCUAGAGUAUGGUAGAGGGUAGUGGAAUUUCCGGUGUAGCGGUGAAAUGCGUAGAUAUCGGAAAGAACACCAGUGGCGAAGGCGGCUACCUGGACCAAUACUGACACUGAGGUGCGAAAGCGUGGGGAGCAAACAGG